This is a long non-coding RNA of Symphalangus syndactylus (siamang), 1014 nucleotides long. RefSeq lists it as uncharacterized. The record is from RefSeq and is a predicted model, not a curated record. NCBI's taxonomy places the organism in Eukaryota, Metazoa, Chordata, Mammalia, Primates, Hylobatidae.
UUUGGAUAUUUUUCAGAUUUUGGAAUAUUUGCAUUAUACUUACCAGUUGAGUAUCCUUAAUUUGAAAAUCUGAAAUCUGAAAUGCUCCAAUGAACAUUUCCUUUGAGCAUCAUGUAAGUGCUUAAACACUUUCAGAUUUUGAAGCAUUUCAGAUUUCAGAUUUUCAGAUUAGGGAUAUUCAUUGUUUGGCUGCCUUGGCUUGGGGCCACAAUUUUAUCUCCUGCUAGGGCAGGCUCUUCAGACUCACUUCUUCCAGCUGCGUCAGUGUAGGGAAGUAGUUGGCAGGCUUACUGUGAAGCUCCUCCCAGACUUUAGCCAACUUCAAUCUCAAGCCACAGGCAGAGAGUCUUCUUAGUGUAGUUAUAGUCCUUUCCUGCCCUGUUUUAUGUUGGUUAGCUCCAGUUCGAGUUCCUCUCUUGGAGCCUUUACUAAAAGUAGCAAGAAGCAAGCAUCUUAUACCAAACACUUGAAAUGUUUUCCUCCAUGUUCUUUGGAGUUAGAGGUUCAGAUGCCAUGUGCUCUACCUUCCAUGACAUCAUAGAUGGUGGUUUUAACAAACAUUUGUCCAUGGCCUAGCAAAACUCACCAGCUUUAUCACUGUCACAUGCUGGGGAAUUCUGAGUAAAUGCUACGCAUUUCAGAUUCUCUUCUGUUCAGCUCCUCUUCCAGGUAUUAAGGAUCAGUUGUCGAUUCAUUCAUUUCACACAUUUCACUAGUGACACUGAAUACUGCAGAGCCAAAGAUGAAAGGGGAAGCAAUUCACAGGCUGAUGAGAAGAUGCACGAUUGCCAUUCGGGUACUGAGAGCUGCAACGGAGGAAGGGUGAAACUAAUGAAACUCAUCAUAAACGAGGAGGAGCCAAGAUGGCCGAAUAGGAACAGCUCCGGUCUCCAGCUCCCAGCCUGAGCGACACAUAAGACGGGUGAUUUCUGCCUUUCUGUUUGAGGUACCGGUUUCAUCUCACUAGGGAGUGCCAAACAGUGGGUGCAGGACAUUCGGUGAAGCGCACUGUGA